GGUUUUUCAACAAUCUGUUUCAGCUUACUCAGACAACUUGGUGAUUCUCUAGCUCUUGUAACAAAACAACUGAUAUCAAUGAACAUUGCAAAACACAUUUUUUAAAAACUAUCAAAAUUUUAUUUUCAAGAUUGGAGAAUAAGGAAAAUAUAAUAUUUAUACCCCUUUUGUUGCAAUAUGAAAAUCUAUUUUAUCUCAUAAAAGCUGAGGAUGCCCGUUCAAACAUUCUCUGAGCACAUAACAUACAAUUGUACCCUCAGAUUGGGCUUUUCUUAAAACCAUGAUCAUCUGAUCCAAUCCAGAGCAUGCCAUUGGUAGCAAAGUGGGAGCCGUCUACCGGGUGCAGGCCAUAAGCGAGUUCACCAACUGGAAGGAAUUUAAAUCCAUCAAAAGCCUGGCCCAGGCCGGGUACAGUGACUCACGCCUGUAAUCCUAGCACUUAGGAAGGCUGAGG
Molecule: long non-coding RNA, 454 nt
Filed under: Pan troglodytes (chimpanzee)
Lineage: Eukaryota; Metazoa; Chordata; Mammalia; Primates; Hominidae
Description: long non-coding RNA NONPTRT015375
Source: RNAcentral